RNAcentral lists this non-coding RNA (176 nucleotides) under Anaerolineaceae bacterium. RNAcentral's name for it is "6S RNA". It matches the Rfam family "6S / SsrS RNA". From Rfam's summary of the family: E. coli 6S RNA was the first non coding RNA to be sequenced, but its function was unknown until recently. Lineage: Bacteria; Bacillati; Chloroflexota; Anaerolineae; Anaerolineales; Anaerolineaceae. The record is from RNAcentral.
UCAGUCCUGCCGUGCGCGUGAUGGCGCCAACCGUUUUGAGCCAACACCCAUUUGAGGGGCGUCGAAGACCGGUGUGGAUGCGAUAGGCCUGAGCCAAGGCAAAAACAUCAGGAGAGAUGCCCAACCUGCGAAAGCAGGCUCAACACUACGCGAUCACACGGCAUGGCGGGCUACCU